UUUUAUCUCCAAAACAUCAUACUUUAUUAAACUCGUUCGAAAAUGUUGGCUUCAUGAGCCAACCAUUCCGGAACUAAGUGGCUUACAUAGGAAAUGAAAUGAUUAAGUAUGUUAAGUAAUUUGAUUUC
RNAcentral lists this small RNA (128 nucleotides) under Arabidopsis thaliana (thale cress). RNAcentral describes it as "ATSL131900". The record is from RNAcentral. Lineage: Eukaryota; Viridiplantae; Streptophyta; Magnoliopsida; Brassicales; Brassicaceae.